Molecule: ribosomal RNA, 512 nt
Filed under: uncultured bacterium
Lineage: Bacteria
Description: partial 16S ribosomal RNA
Rfam family: Bacterial small subunit ribosomal RNA
Source: RNAcentral
GACGAACGCUGGCGGCAUGCCUAAUACAUGCAAGUCGAGCGAACAGAUGAAGUGCUUGCACUUCUGACGUUAGCGGCGAACGGGUGAGUAACACGUAAGGAAUCUACCUAUAAGCGGGGGAUAACAUUCGGAAACGGGUGCUAAUACCGCAUAAUAUCUUCUUCCGCAUGGAAGAAGAUUGAAAGACGGCUCUGCUGUCACUUAUAGAUGACCUUGCGGUGCAUUAGUUAGUUGGUGGGGUAAUGGCCUACCAAGACGAUGAUGCAUAGCCGACCUGCGCGGGUGAUCGGCCACAUUGGGACUAAGACACGGCCCAAACUCCUACGGGAGGCAGCAGUAGGGAAUCUUCCGCAAUGGGCGAAAGCCUGACGGAGCAAUGCCGCGUGAGUGAAGAAGGCCUUCGGGUCGUAAAACUCUGUUUAAGAGAAGAACAAAUUGUAGAGUAACUGCUACAGUCUUGACGGUAUCUUAUCAGAAAGCCACGGCUAACUACGUGCCAGCCGCCGCAGUAA